GCUGCGUUCUUCAUCGAUGCCAGAACCAAGAGAUCCGUUGUUAAAAGUUUUA
This 52-nucleotide ribosomal RNA is filed under the name Cladosporium herbarum. Its description in RNAcentral is "partial 5.8S ribosomal RNA". Lineage: Eukaryota; Fungi; Ascomycota; Dothideomycetes; Cladosporiales; Cladosporiaceae. The record is from RNAcentral.